CAGCAGCCGCGGUAAUACGUAGGGUGCAAGCGUUAAUCGGAAUUACUGGGCGUAAAGCGUGCGCAGGCGGUUAUAUAAGACAGAUGUGAAAUCCCCGGGCUCAACCUGGGAACUGCAUUUGUGACUGUAUAGCUAGAGUACGGCAGAGGGGGAUGGAAUUCCGCGUGUAGCAGUGAAAUGCGUAGAUAUGCGGAGGAACACCGAUGGCGAAGGCAAUCCCCUGGGCCUGUACUGACGCUCAUGCACGAAAGCGUGGGGAGCAAACUGGAUUAGAUACCCCCGUAGUCCCUGUCUCUUAUAC
RNAcentral lists this ribosomal RNA (301 nucleotides) under uncultured bacterium. RNAcentral's name for it is "partial 16S ribosomal RNA". It matches the Rfam family "Bacterial small subunit ribosomal RNA", at positions 509 to 807 of the family's 1533-position model. The record is from RNAcentral.